Molecule: long non-coding RNA, 942 nt
Filed under: Homo sapiens (human)
Lineage: Eukaryota; Metazoa; Chordata; Mammalia; Primates; Hominidae
Description: HSALNT0020367
Source: RNAcentral
GGGCUGUGUGGGCCCGCUGGAACUCCAGCACAAUGCAGGGAGUGGUGGGUGCCAGGUCUAGCCCACCGACAAUUGGGAACUUGUUUAUUGCUUUAAUGACCCUAUGGUGGAUCCACCUGGAAAUAGACCUGCUAAUGAGCAGAGACAGAGCUGGCACAGCCCCAAGGGAAGCCUGUCGGGCCAGCUACCCUGGAGGCGCUAUGGGUGUGUGGUCUGAGACUAGGAGAGCUGGGAAGUGGAGACCUGGGUUCUGUCUGGGAAAACCACACGGAGAUCUCAUGCUUCUCCACUGCUAUCCACCUCUUGUUGUGGGUUACACGAAGGUGAAGUGGGGGAAGUGGCGUGGGGCUGAGAAUUCAAGGCAUAGUUGGUCUCCCCAUUCCAGCCUUUGCUCCCAACUGCUGGUGGCCUUGGACAAGCUGUCUACACUUUCUGGGCCUUAUGUCCUCAUCUUUCAGGAAGGGAUACCAACAUCAUUCCUGCUGUCUCCCCACUUCCCCAGGGUGUUGGGAGGAUAAGGUGUUGGCAAUAUCCUUGAAGAGACUAAAAGAACUCAGAACAACACUGAACAAGCCAGCAGAGCCAUCAACUCACCCCUACAGUCUCCAUACACAGACUCCAUGAAAGCAUUGGCCAUCAGCUCUCACUGGUGUGGAUAUGUCACCAGUGGGGUAGAGUUGUUCCUCUCUCUGACACUGUAUUAGUCCAUUCUCACACUGCUAUUAAAAAACAAACAAACAAACUUGAGAUUGGGGUAAUUUAUGAAGAAGAGAGGUUUAUUUAUUUAUUUAUUUAUUUUGAGACAGAGUCUCACUUUGUCGCCAGGCUAGAGUGCUGUGGCGCGAUCUCAGCUCACUGCAACCUCCAACUCCCUGGUUCAAGGGAUUCUCCUGCCUCCGCCUCCCAGGUAGCUGGGAUUACAGGCGCGUGCCACCACGCCCA